GAUGAACGCUGGCGGCGUGCCUAAUACAUGCAAGUCGAGCGAACAGACGAGGAGCUUGCUCCUCUGACGUUAGCGGCGGACGGGUGAGUAACACGUGGAUAACCUACCUAUAAGACUGGGAUAACUUCGGGAAACCGGAGCUAAUACCGGAUAAUAUAUUGAACCGCAUGGUUCAAUAGUGAAAGACGGUUUUGCUGUCACUUAUAGAUGGAUCCGCGCCGCAUUAGCUAGUUGGUAAGGUAACGGCUUACCAAGGCAACGAUGCGUAGCCGACCUGAGAGGGUGAUCGGCCACACUGGAACUGAGACACGGUCCAGACUCCUACGGGAGGCAGCAGUAGGGAAUCUUCCGCAAUGGGCGAAAGCCUGACGUGGCAACGCCGCGUGAGUGAUGAAGGUCUUCGGAUCGUAAAACUCUGUUAUUAGGGAAGAACAAAUGUGUAAGUAACUAUGCACGUCUUGACGGUACCUAAUCAGAAAGCCACGGCUAACUACGUG
Molecule: ribosomal RNA, 497 nt
Filed under: uncultured bacterium
Lineage: Bacteria
Description: partial 16S ribosomal RNA
Rfam family: Bacterial small subunit ribosomal RNA
Source: RNAcentral